UUUAAUGUAUAAAAAAUUCUGUUGGUAUCUGAAAUUAUUACUAUUACUUUUUUUGUAUAUAAUCAUAACACAAAUGAUUACCUUAACACCCAGCCUCUAACAUUCCGACAGUAAUGCAAAUAAUUCAAAUUUGUUUUUAACGGAAAUGAGUGAUGCAGUUGACUUUGUUGUCAGCACUUUUGUUCAGGAUUUUAUCAAUAGUUCAGCAAACAUUGAAUUAACCACUGUUAGCAGUACUGUUAAUGACUUAUCGGCUGAACCUCAGAAUACGGUUAAUAGUUCUUCAUACCCUGAAUUAUGUGAAGUAAAUAGUAUCAUUGAUGG
Hydra vulgaris (swiftwater hydra) is the source of this 324-nucleotide long non-coding RNA. RefSeq lists it as uncharacterized. The record is from RefSeq and is a predicted model, not a curated record. Lineage: Eukaryota; Metazoa; Cnidaria; Hydrozoa; Anthoathecata; Hydridae.